UGAGGCAGGAGAAUUGCUUGAACCCAGGAGGUGGAGGUUGCAGUGAGCCGAGAUCGGGCCGCUGCACUCCAGCCUGGGUGACAAAGCAAGACUCCAUCUCA
Molecule: microRNA precursor, 101 nt
Filed under: Gorilla gorilla gorilla (western lowland gorilla)
Lineage: Eukaryota; Metazoa; Chordata; Mammalia; Primates; Hominidae
Description: miRNA (ENSGGOG00000037383.1)
Source: RNAcentral